RNAcentral lists this ribosomal RNA (925 nucleotides) under Escherichia coli. Its description in RNAcentral is "partial 23S ribosomal RNA". It matches the Rfam family "Bacterial large subunit ribosomal RNA", at positions 1 to 968 of the family's 2925-position model. Lineage: Bacteria; Pseudomonadati; Pseudomonadota; Gammaproteobacteria; Enterobacterales; Enterobacteriaceae. The record is from RNAcentral.
GGUUAAGCGACUAAGCGUACACGGUGGAUGCCCUGGCAGUCAGAGGCGAUGAAGGACGUGCUAAUCUGCGAUAAGCGUCGGUGAGGUGAUAUGAACCGUUAUAACCGGCGAUUUCCGAAUGGGGAAACCCAGUGUGUUUCGACACACUAUCAUUAACUGAAUCCAUAGGUUAAUGAGGCGAACCGGGGGAACUGAAACAUCUAAGUACCCCGAGGAAAAGAAAUCAACCGAGAUUCCCCCAGUAGCGGCGAGCGAACGGGGAGGAGCCCAGAGCCUGAAUCAGUGUGUGUGUUAGUGGAAGCGUCUGGAAAGGCGCGCGAUACAGGGUGACAGCCCCGUACACAAAAAUGCACAUAUUGUGAGCUCGAUGAGUAGGGCGGGACACGUGGUAUCCUGUCUGAAUAUGGGGGGACCAUCCUCCAAGGCUAAAUACUCCUGACUGACCGAUAGUGAACCAGUACCGUGAGGGAAAGGCGAAAAGAACCCCGGCGAGGGGAGUGAAAAAGAACCUGAAACCGUGUACGUACAAGCAGUGGGAGCCUCUUUAUGGGGUGACUGCGUACCUUUUGUAUAAUGGGUCAGCGACUUAUAUUCUGUAGCAAGGUUAACCGAAUAGGGGAGCCGAAGGGAAACCGAGUCUUAACUGGGCGUUAAGUUGCAGGGUAUAGACCCGAAACCCGGUGAUCUAGCCAUGGGCAGGUUGAAGGUUGGGUAACACUAACUGGAGGACCGAACCGACUAAUGUUGAAAAAUUAGCGGAUGACUUGUGGCUGGGGGUGAAAGGCCAAUCAAACCGGGAGAUAGCUGGUUCUCCCCGAAAGCUAUUUAGGUAGCGCCUCGUGAAUUCAUCUCCGGGGGUAGAGCACUGUUUCGGCAAGGGGGUCAUCCCGACUUACCAACCCGAUGCAAACUGCGAAUACCGGAG